AACUUACCUAAACGUUGCUUCGGCGGGAAUAGACGGCCCUGUAAAACGGGCCGCCCCCGCCAGAGGACUCUUAACUCUGUUUCUUAUAAUGUUUCUUCUGAGUAAAACAAGCAAAUAAAUUAAAACUUUCAACAACGGAUCUCUUGGCUCUGGCAUCGAUGAAGAACGCAGCGAAAUGCGAUAAGUAAUGUGAAUUGCAGAAUUCAGUGAAUCAUCGAAUCUUUGAACGCACAUUGCGCCCGCCAGUAUUCUGGCGGGCAUGCCUGUUCGAGCGUCAUUACAACCCUCAGGCCCCCGGGCCUGGCGUUGGGGAUCGGCGGAAGCCCCCUGCGGGCACAACGCCGUCCCCCAAAUACAGUGGCGGUCCCGCCGCAGCUUCCAUCGCGUAGUAGCUAACACCUCGCGACUGGAGAGCGGCGCGGCCACGCCGUAAAACACCCCAACUUCUGAA
This 451-nucleotide unclassified non-coding RNA is filed under the name Fusarium petroliphilum. Its description in RNAcentral is "sequence contains 18S rRNA gene, ITS1, 5.8S rRNA gene, ITS2, 28S rRNA gene". The stretch from base 124 to 277 matches the Rfam family "5.8S ribosomal RNA". The record is from RNAcentral. Lineage: Eukaryota; Fungi; Ascomycota; Sordariomycetes; Hypocreales; Nectriaceae.